Molecule: ribosomal RNA, 254 nt
Filed under: uncultured bacterium
Lineage: Bacteria
Description: partial 16S ribosomal RNA
Rfam family: Bacterial small subunit ribosomal RNA
Source: RNAcentral
UACGGGGGGAGCAAGCGUUGUUCGGAUUUACUGGGCGUAAAGGGCGCGUAGGCGGCCACCGCAAGUCGACUGUGAAAUCUCCGGGCUUAACUCGGAAAGGUCAGCCGAUACUGCGGGGCUAGAGUGCAGAAGGGGCAACUGGAAUUCUCGGUGUAGCGGUGAAAUGCGUAGAUAUUGAGAGGAACACCGGUGGCGAAGGCGGGUCUCUGGGCCGUAACUGACGCUGAGGAGCGAAAGCGUGGGGAGCGAACAGG